RNAcentral lists this ribosomal RNA (718 nucleotides) under uncultured bacterium. RNAcentral describes it as "bacterial SSU rRNA". It matches the Rfam family "Bacterial small subunit ribosomal RNA", at positions 162 to 881 of the family's 1533-position model. The record is from RNAcentral.
ACUAAUACCCAAUGAUAUCUCUAGAAGACAUCUGAAGGAGAUUAAAGAUUUAUCGGUGAUGGAUGGGGAUGCGUCUGAUUAGCUUGUUGGCGGGGUAACGGCCCACCAAGGCGACGAUCAGUAGGGGUUCUGAGAGGAAGGUCCCCCACAUUGGAACUGAGACACGGUCCAAACUCCUACGGGAGGCAGCAGUGAGGAAUAUUGGUCAAUGGACGAGAGUCUGAACCAGCCAAGUAGCGUGCAGGAUGACGGCCCUAUGGGUUGUAAACUGCUUUUAUAAGGGAAUAAAGUGAGUCUCGUGAGACUUUUUGCAUGUACCUUAUGAAUAAGGACCGGCUAAUUCCGUGCCAGCAGCCGCGGUAAUACGGAAGGUCCGGGCGUUAUCCGGAUUUAUUGGGUUUAAAGGGAGCGUAGGCCGGAGAUUAAGCGUGUUGUGAAAUGUAGAUGCUCAACAUCUGCACUGCAGCGCGAACUGGUUUCCUUGAGUACGCACAAAGUGGGCGGAAUUCGUGGUGUAGCGGUGAAAUGCUUAGAUAUCACGAAGAACUCCGAUUGCGAAGGCAGCUCACUGGAGCGCAACUGACGCUGAAGCUCGAAAGUGCGGGUAUCGAACAGGAUUAGAUACCCUGGUAGUCCGCACGGUAAACGAUGGAUGCCCGCUGUUGGUCUGAAUAGGUCAGCGGCCAAGCGAAAGCAUUAAGCAUCCCACCUGGGGAGU